GCCUGUAGCUCAGUUGGUAGAGCAUGGUCUUUGCAACACCAGAGUUGUGGGUUCAAUUCCCACAGGGGGCA
Molecule: non-coding RNA, 71 nt
Organism: Salmo salar (Atlantic salmon)
Lineage: Eukaryota; Metazoa; Chordata; Actinopteri; Salmoniformes; Salmonidae
Source: Rfam